Molecule: ribosomal RNA, 245 nt
Filed under: uncultured Legionella sp.
Lineage: Bacteria; Pseudomonadati; Pseudomonadota; Gammaproteobacteria; Legionellales; Legionellaceae
Description: partial 16S ribosomal RNA
Rfam family: Bacterial small subunit ribosomal RNA
Source: RNAcentral
UACAGAGGGUGCGAGCGUUAAUCGGAAUUACUGGGCGUAAAGGGUGCGUAGGUGGUUGUAUAAGUUGGGUGUGAAAGUCCUGGGCUUAACCUGGGGACUGCGCUUAAUACUGUAUAGCUAGAGUAUUGUAGAGGAAGGUGGAAUUUCCGGUGUAGCGGUGAAAUGCGUAGAUAUCGGAAGGAACAUCAGUGGCGAAGGCGACUUUCUGGACAGAUACUGACACUGAGGCACGAAAGCAUGGGUAG